RNAcentral lists this ribosomal RNA (443 nucleotides) under uncultured soil bacterium. RNAcentral describes it as "bacterial SSU rRNA". It matches the Rfam family "Bacterial small subunit ribosomal RNA", at positions 26 to 518 of the family's 1533-position model. The record is from RNAcentral.
AGAGCGAACGCUGGCGGCAGGCCUAACACAUGCAAGUCGAACGGACCCUUCGGGGGUUAGUGGCGGACGGGUGAGUAACACGUGGGAACGUGCCUUUUGGUUCGGAAUAGCUCCUGGAAACGGGUGGUAAUGCCGAAUGUGCCCUUCGGGGGAAAGAUUUAUCGCCAUUAGAGCGGCCCGCGUCUGAUUAGCUAGUUGGUAAGGUAAUGGCUUACCAAGGCACGAUCAGUAGCUGGUCUGAGAGGAUGACCAGCCGCAUUGGGACUGAGACACGGCCCAAACUCCUACGGAGGCAGCAGUGGGGAAUCUUGCGCAAUGGGCGAAAGCCUGACGCAGCAUGCGCGUGAAUGAUGAAAGGUCUCAGGAUAGUAAAAUUCUUUCACGGGACGAAUAAUGACGGUACCGGAGAAGAAGACCCGGACUAACUUCGUGCCAGCAGCCGC